Molecule: transfer RNA, 73 nt
Filed under: Mycetomoellerius zeteki
Lineage: Eukaryota; Metazoa; Arthropoda; Insecta; Hymenoptera; Formicidae
Description: Trachymyrmex zeteki tRNA
Rfam family: tRNA
About the family: Transfer RNA (tRNA) molecules are approximately 80 nucleotides in length. Their secondary structure includes four short double-helical elements and three loops (D, anti-codon, and T loops). Further hydrogen bonds mediate the characteristic L-shaped molecular structure. tRNAs have two regions of fundamental functional importance: the anti-codon, which is responsible for specific mRNA codon recognition, and the 3' end, to which the tRNAs corresponding amino acid is attached (by aminoacyl-tRNA synthetases). tRNAs cope with the degeneracy of the genetic code in two manners: having more than one tRNA (with a specific anti-codon) for a particular amino acid; and 'wobble' base-pairing, i.e. permitting non-standard base-pairing at the 3rd anti-codon position.
Source: Rfam by way of RNAcentral
GCCUCGGUAGUCUAAUGGCUUAAGACACUCGUACGGAAUACAAGAGAUCUUGGUUCGACUCCCGGCCGAGGUA